AAUCCCCAGAAAACAAGCAUGACAAUUAACAUCCUUGCAGAAGACAUUGGGAGACGGCAGGAAAUUUCAAGGAGGAAGUGCACUCAAGGGGAAAAAUAAGCACCUUUUACAAAAAAAGCAAGGUGCUGAUAAGUCUUGGCAUUUGGAUGAAUCAAAAUCAACUGGGAUUUUUGAACACUUUAAAGCAGUGAGUUGAGUUCACUGGUGAAUAACUUCAUAUUCCUAAAGUUAAGAAGCCUGCCCUGAUGGUCAUUCAGUUACUUUGACCAAUGACCAAACAGAGAGAGGAAGAAAGAAGUCUUGAAGAAGAGAGAGACAGAAAAAAAUCACCAUAAAAAGUCAGACAUGAGAGCUUAGAAGUCAAUUAAGACAGGGCUUGGAAGUGGCAUUAGGUUUUUGGGGAACCGUUGUUACUUGAAAAAAAACAAAACAAAACAAAACAAAAAACCUCUGUUUGUAUCUGUAGACAAAGAUCUGUUCAGAAUGGUUGGCUUUGUGAGGUGCUGUGAGACAGAGAUGAAAAAGACAAUCUGCCAAGCCUUAGGAAAAAAAUAUUAAACAAGCAUCUCUAGGAAAUUGC
This 580-nucleotide non-coding RNA is filed under the name Pongo abelii (Sumatran orangutan). The record is from RNAcentral. Lineage: Eukaryota; Metazoa; Chordata; Mammalia; Primates; Hominidae.